AUCCAUUUGACGAGUCCCAAAUAGGACGAAAUGAGCAUCCUGGAU
RNAcentral lists this non-coding RNA (45 nucleotides) under Trichobilharzia regenti. Lineage: Eukaryota; Metazoa; Platyhelminthes; Trematoda; Strigeidida; Schistosomatidae. The record is from RNAcentral.